GACGAACGCUGGCGGCGUGCUUAACACAUGCAAGUCGAACGGAAAGGCCCUGCUUUUGUGGGGUGCUCGAGUGGCGAACGGGUGAGUAACACGUGAGUAACCUGCCCUUGACUUUGGGAUAACUUCAGGAAACUGGGGCUCAUACCGGAUAGGAGCUCCUGCUGCAUGGUGGGGGUUGGAAAGUUUCGGCGGUUGGGGAUGGUCUCGCGGCUUAUCAGCUUGUUGGUGGGGUAGUGGCUUACCAAGGCUUUGACGGGUAGCCGGCCUGAGAGGGUGACCGGCCACAUGGGGACUGAGAGACGGCCCAGAAUGCUACGGGAGGCAGCAGGGGGGAAUAUUGCACAAUGGGCGGAAGCCUGAUGCAGCAACGCCGCGUGCGGGAUGACGGCCUACGGGUGGUAAACCGCUGUCGCCUGAGACGAAGCGUGAGUGACGGUAAUGGGUAAAGAAGCACCGGCUAACUACGUG
This 468-nucleotide ribosomal RNA is filed under the name uncultured bacterium. RNAcentral describes it as "partial 16S ribosomal RNA". It matches the Rfam family "Bacterial small subunit ribosomal RNA", at positions 28 to 507 of the family's 1533-position model. The record is from RNAcentral.